GAACGUGUAGCUUAGCAGGAUAGAGCAGUCCCCUCCUAAGGGACAGGUCGGCGGUUCAACUCCGCCCACGUUCGCCA
RNAcentral lists this transfer RNA (77 nucleotides) under Avibacterium volantium. Its description in RNAcentral is "tRNA-Arg". It matches the Rfam family "tRNA". Rfam says of the family: Transfer RNA (tRNA) molecules are approximately 80 nucleotides in length. Their secondary structure includes four short double-helical elements and three loops (D, anti-codon, and T loops). Lineage: Bacteria; Pseudomonadati; Pseudomonadota; Gammaproteobacteria; Pasteurellales; Pasteurellaceae. The record is from RNAcentral. RNAcentral also lists the same sequence under 1 other name.